RNAcentral lists this ribosomal RNA (400 nucleotides) under uncultured bacterium. RNAcentral describes it as "bacterial SSU rRNA". It matches the Rfam family "Bacterial small subunit ribosomal RNA", at positions 356 to 773 of the family's 1533-position model. The record is from RNAcentral.
GGGGAAUAUUGGACAAUGGGCGAAAGCCUGAUCCAGCCAUGCCGCGUGAGUGAUGAAGGCCCUAGGGUUGUAAAGCUCUUUCACCGGUGAAGAUAAUGACGGUAGCCGGAGAAGAAGCCCCGGCUAACUUCGUGCCAGCAGCCGCGGUAAUACGAAGGGGGCUAGCGUUGUUCGGAAUUACUGGGCGUAAAGCGCACGUAGGCGGAUUGUUUAGUGAGGGGUGAAAUCCCAGGGCUCAACCCUGGAACUGCCUCUCAUACUGGCAAUCUCGAGUCCGAGAGAGGUGAGUGGAAUUCCGAGUGUAGAGGUGAAAUUCGUAGAUAUUCGGAGGAACACCAGUGGCGAAGGCGGCUCACUGGCUCGGUACUGACGCUGAGGUGCGAAAGCGUGGGGAGCAAAC